Molecule: ribosomal RNA, 253 nt
Filed under: uncultured bacterium
Lineage: Bacteria
Description: partial 16S ribosomal RNA
Rfam family: Bacterial small subunit ribosomal RNA
Source: RNAcentral
UACGAAAGGGGCUAGCGUUGUUCGGAAUUACUGGGCGUAAAGCGCACGUAGGCGGCCAUGUAAGUUGGGGGUGAAAUCCCGGGGCUCAACCCCGGAACUGCCUUCAAAACUACAUAGCUAGAGGAUGUGAGAGGAGAGUGGAAUUCCGAGUGUAGAGGUGAAAUUCGUAGAUAUUCGGAAGAACACCGGUGGCGAAGGCGGCGGUCAGGUACGUUACUGACGCUGAGGCGCGAAAGCGUUGGGAGCAAACAGG